UACGGAGGGAGCUAGCGUUGUUCGGAAUUACUGGGCGUAAAGCGCGCGUAGGCGGCUUUGUAAGUUAGAGGUGAAAGCCCGGAGCUCAACUCCGGAACUGCCUUUAAAACUGCAUCGCUUGAAUCCAGGAGAGGUGAGUGGAAUUCCGAGUGUAGUGGUGAAAUUCGUAGAUAUUCGGAAGAACACCAGUGGCGAAGGCGGCUCACUGGACUGGUAUUGACGCUGAGGUGCGAAAGCGUGGGGAGCAAACAGG
RNAcentral lists this ribosomal RNA (253 nucleotides) under uncultured bacterium. RNAcentral's name for it is "partial 16S ribosomal RNA". It matches the Rfam family "Bacterial small subunit ribosomal RNA", at positions 524 to 776 of the family's 1533-position model. The record is from RNAcentral.